Molecule: ribosomal RNA, 1413 nt
Filed under: Triticum aestivum (bread wheat)
Lineage: Eukaryota; Viridiplantae; Streptophyta; Magnoliopsida; Poales; Poaceae
Description: partial small subunit ribosomal RNA
Source: RNAcentral
AUGGCCGCCAUCGUCGAGAACGUCAUGGGCUGGCGCCCCGGCGGUGUAAAUACCGUGGCAAGUGCCGCCUCCCUCUCCCCCGCCGUCGACUACGACGGCGAGGACCGCAUCAGCGCCCUCCCCGACGACCUCCUCCGCAGCAUCGUCUCACGCCUCCCCGUCAAGGACGCAGCCCGCACCGCCUCCCUCGCCUCCCGCUGGCGCCACCUCUGGCGCUCCACCCCGCUCUCCCUCAACGACGCCGACCUGCCCCGAUCCGUCGUCGCCCGCGCCCUUGCCGACCACCCGGGCCCCUUCCGCGCCAUCCACAUCACCCGCUGCCGGUUCGCGUCCCACGAGCGCGAGAUCGCAGAGUGGCCGCGCCUCUUCGCUGCCAAUGGCAUCCAGCACCUCGUCCUCGUCAACGACGCCAACCUCGCCAGGUUCCCCCCGACGCCGCUCCCCGCAGACAUCCUCCGCUGCGCCUCACUCCAGCGCCUCUUCCUGGGUUUCUUCACGUUCCCGGACACCGCUGGUCUCUCCCGCCGAGCCGACGUCCUGCCCCGCCUCCAGGAACUCAGCAUGUUCACGACCAGCAUCAGCGACGAGGACCUCGACUACAUGCUCGCUUGCAGCCCGGUUCUGGAGAAGCUCGCGUUCGUGCUCAGCUAUACACCCGAUUUCAUCCAUCUACGGAGCAGAAGCCUCCGGUGCGUGCUCCUCUGGAUCUUCAUGGCAGACGAGGUUGCCGUGGUGGAUGCCCCGCUCCUGGAGCGGCUCUUCUUGCUGGAAGCGCCCCGUGGAGGACAUGCUGAGAGUACUAUGAUGAUCAAGAUUGCUCAUGCGCCCAACCUGCAGGUGCUCGGCUUCUUGGAGCCAGGAUUUCACCGGCUGCAGAUCGGCGACAAUGUCAUUGAGCCUGGCACAAAGCGGAGCCCAAGCACAGUGCUUCCAAGCAUCAAGAUAUUGGCAUUUAAAGUUAAUUUUGGUGUCAUAGAGCAUGUCAAGAUGCUGGUGGCCUACCUCAGAUGCUUUCCCAACAUUGAGACGCUGCACAUCGAGUUCCAGUCUUUAACUGAACCCACUGGAAGGAACCAUGCCAAGUUCUGGCACGAGCUCUCUACUAUUGAAUGCAUCAAGUCCCACGUCAAGAAGAUGGUUAUCCAUGAAUACAGAGGGAACAAAGUUGAACUUGAAUUCCUUAAGUUCAUCUCCACGAGCGCGCAAGAGCUCCAAGCUUUGUAUGUUCUGCUGAACAGAGAGAGUCUUACUUCGGUGGCCAAGGCGGAUAAGAUGACAAGCAAACUGGUGGCUCUCUCGGGUGUACCAUGGAGCUGUGAUUGUAAGAUGAUGGUGCUAGGCCCUAAAUUUCAGAAUGACUGGAGCAUCCAGAAAGCAUCUGAUCUUACCGUCGACGACCCUUUCCAUUGGUGA